AGUGAACGCUGGCGGUAGGCCUAACACAUGCAAGUCGAACGGCAGCACAGAGGAGCUUGCUCCUUGGGUGGCGAGUGGCGGACGGGUGAGGAAUACAUCGGAAUCUACUCUGUCGUGGGGGAUAACGUAGGGAAACUUACGCUAAUACCGCAUACGACCUACGGGUGAAAGCAGGGGAUCUUCGGACCUUGCGCGAUUGAAUGAGCCGAUGUCGGAUUAGCUAGUUGGCGGGGUAAAGGCCCACCAAGGCGACGAUCCGUAGCUGGUCUGAGAGGAUGAUAAGCCACACUGGAACUGAGACACGGUCCAGACUCCUAAGGGAGGCAGCAGUGGGGAAUAUUGGACAAUGGGCGCAAGCCUGAUCCAGCCAUACCGCGUGGGUGAAGAAGGCCUUCGGGUUGUAAAGCCCUUUUGUUGGGAAAGAAAUCCAGCCGGCUAAUACCUGGUUGGGAUGACGGUACCCAAAGAAUAAGCACCGGCUAACUUCGUG
RNAcentral lists this ribosomal RNA (490 nucleotides) under uncultured bacterium. RNAcentral's name for it is "partial 16S ribosomal RNA". It matches the Rfam family "Bacterial small subunit ribosomal RNA", at positions 29 to 507 of the family's 1533-position model. The record is from RNAcentral.